This 84-nucleotide ribosomal RNA is filed under the name Chamabainia cuspidata. Its description in RNAcentral is "partial 28S ribosomal RNA". The record is from RNAcentral. Lineage: Eukaryota; Viridiplantae; Streptophyta; Magnoliopsida; Rosales; Urticaceae.
CAUUGUUGGACACAUCAAUGCAUUUUUUACGCGACCCCAGGUCAGGCGGGACUACCCGCUGAGUUUAAGCAUAUCAAUAAGCGG